RNAcentral lists this ribosomal RNA (916 nucleotides) under Myroides odoratimimus. RNAcentral describes it as "bacterial SSU rRNA". It matches the Rfam family "Bacterial small subunit ribosomal RNA", at positions 526 to 1456 of the family's 1533-position model. Lineage: Bacteria; Pseudomonadati; Bacteroidota; Flavobacteriia; Flavobacteriales; Flavobacteriaceae. The record is from RNAcentral.
CGGAGGAUCCGAGCGUUAUCCGGAAUUAUUGGGUUUAAAGGGUUCGUAGGCGGCUUUGUAAGUCAGUGGUGAAAUUUCCUAGCUUAACUAGGACACUGCCAUUGAUACUGCAGAGCUUGAAUAAUAUGGAAGUAACUAGAAUAUGUAGUGUAGCGGUGAAAUGCUUAGAUAUUACAUGGAAUACCAAUUGCGAAGGCAGGUUACUACGUAUUUAUUGACGCUGAUGAACGAAAGCGUGGGGAGCGAACAGGAUUAGAUACCCUGGUAGUCCACGCCGUAAACGAUGGAUACUAGCUGUUCGGAUUUCGGUCUGAGUGGCUAAGCGAAAGUGAUAAGUAUCCCACCUGGGGAGUACGUUCGCAAGAAUGAAACUCAAAGGAAUUGACGGGGGCCCGCACAAGCGGUGGAGCAUGUGGUUUAAUUCGAUGAUACGCGAGGAACCUUACCAGGGCUUAAAUGUAGAUUGACAGAUUUGGAAACAGAUUUUUCUUCGGACAAUUUACAAGGUGCUGCAUGGUUGUCGUCAGCUCGUGCCGUGAGGUGUCAGGUUAAGUCCUAUAACGAGCGCAACCCCUAUUGUUAGUUACCAGCGCGUAGUGGCGGGGACUCUAGCAAGACUGCCGGUGCAAACCGUGAGGAAGGUGGGGAUGACGUCAAAUCAUCACGGCCCUUACGUCCUGGGCUACACACGUGCUACAAUGGCAAGUACAGAAAGCAGCUACCUGGCAACAGGAUGCGAAUCUCCAAAGCUUGUCUCAGUUCGGAUUGGAGUCUGCAACUCGACUCUAUGAAGCUGGAAUCGCUAGUAAUCGGAUAUCAGCCAUGAUCCGGUGAAUACGUUCCCGGGCCUUGUACACACCGCCCGUCAAGCCAUGGAAGCUGGGGGUACCUGAAGUCGGUGACCGCAAGGAGCUGC